This is a long non-coding RNA of Thamnophis elegans (Western terrestrial garter snake), 608 nucleotides long. RefSeq lists it as uncharacterized. NCBI's taxonomy places the organism in Eukaryota, Metazoa, Chordata, Lepidosauria, Squamata, Natricidae. The transcript is spliced from 3 exons. The record is from RefSeq and is a predicted model, not a curated record.
GGGGCCCGCUGGCAACUAAUCAAACUUGAGAGAUCCCUGACCUCUUGGCAAUUCAAGGAAUUGGCCUGAGAUAGAAAGAGGCCAAGCCGGAGGGGUGCAAUCCAAUUUUUAUUUUUAUUUUUUAUUUUGCAGGAAAAGGCUGCAGUUUCGUGCAAGGCUUGAGAAGGUGGGAGAUCCGAUGCUGUUCCUUCUAAGUCGUGGCAGUCAGCUGGAAAAUCUGGGAGUGGGUCUCAAAGAUCCUGGGAUCCAGAGCUCUCCCUGAAAGGAUUCUGCAAGGAUUCUCCGAAGAACUUUUCCAGAAGGCGAUGCCAUCCAGACCCCUCUAACCACGUGGCUGUACCCAUGGCAGAGCUUUGGUCCCCUGAGAUGAAGCCCAGGACGGGCCGUGCCCCCAGAUCUUCCUCCCCGCCUGGCCUCUACCAAGUCCUCUGGGCCAUGGCCAUCGUGGGCCUCUCUGCCAGCACUCCACUCUUAUGCCAGCAGGAAUCGAUCCGGCUUCUGGACACCUUCAUGAAAGAGAUGGGCAAUUCCAGCAGCAUCGGGCCUCUCUACACCCCAGAGGACAUCACGGUAGGUGCCUCCUGGGCGCCUCACGGGUGAAACGGGAC